UAAGCACAUGCCUUAAAACGGUGAAGCCGCGAAUAGCUCAUUACAACAGCCAUCGUUUAUUAGAAUAUCGUUAUCCUACUUGGAUAACUGUGGCAAUUCUAGAGCUAAUACAUGCAAUAAAGCUCUGCCCGCAAGGAACGAGCGCAUUUAUUAGAAUAAAAACCAAUCGGGUUUCGGCCCGUAAUUUGGUGAAUCUGAAUAACUUUGCCAAUCGCACAGUCCUAGUACUGGCGAUGUAUCUUUCAAGUGUCUGCCUUAUCAACUUUCGAUGGUACGCUAUACGCCUACCAUGGUAGUAACGGGUAACGGAGAAUAAGGGUUCGACUCCGGAGAGGGAGCCUGAGAAACGGCUACCACAUCCAAGGAAGGCAGCAGGCGCGCAAAUUACCCACUUCCAGAACGGAGAGGUAGUGACGAAAAAUAACGAGACAGUCCUCUUCGAGGUCUGUCAUCGGAAUGGGUACAAUUUAAAUC
Molecule: ribosomal RNA, 474 nt
Filed under: unidentified nematode Sourhope farm
Lineage: Eukaryota; Metazoa; Nematoda
Description: SSU rRNA
Rfam family: Eukaryotic small subunit ribosomal RNA
Source: RNAcentral